GAAAUGUUGGAGAGGAAUGGGAAAUGAUCCUGGCACUGACCAUACACCCAUGGCAGUCAUUCACAAGGAUGCUCGUCACCAAGGUGCUGAUCUCUGGAAUGCCAUCACUGCCAGCAUGAGCCAACUCAUCCAUUUGGAUUCCACCUAAUCCAUCAUCCAGUUGAGUUGUUUAUGCCACGCCCAUUCAUCACCAUUUCUGGCAGGCAUUUGGGCCACACUGAUGUUUUUCCAAGUAAUUUCCAAGAGAAGCCAGAUGUUCCCUUCUGGAGACAAAUGAAGAGUUCAGAUGCAAAAGCCUCUAAACUCUGCCUCUGUCAAAAAUUAGGUAACGAUGAGUGUGGCAUGGGUGGCCCCAUUGAUAUUGAUUGAAUUAUGACAAAUAUUUGGCCAUACUAGGCUAUUAAUGUUUGCGGCCGGUAGAUCUGAUGAUGACAAGGUGGUGAAAUCUAGUCUCAGAUGUCCAAAAUUGGAUUCCACCUAAUGUGCACCAGUGUGUCCUUCAGAAAGACACUGCAAACCACCAAUGACAAAAUGCCACUAAAGUACUUUCGUCUAAAUGGACCCUUAUUAGAAUUCAAAGCAUCUUUGACAUUUAGCUGUUUUCUGUCUGGUACACAUAAUCAUCAAAAUGCUGGUGCAAAAUGCAUAGCUUUAAAAUGUUUUGAAUUUGAAGUUACUUCGCUAUGCCAACAUAAAAACCUUGUAAAUCAAGAUUAAAGCAAAGCGUGUACAGCCAGGGCCAAACAUAUUAGCACCCUUGCACUUUAAGAUAAUAAACCA
Alosa sapidissima (American shad) is the source of this 780-nucleotide long non-coding RNA. RefSeq lists it as uncharacterized. Lineage: Eukaryota; Metazoa; Chordata; Actinopteri; Clupeiformes; Clupeidae. The record is from RefSeq and is a predicted model, not a curated record. The transcript has 3 exons.